CUGUCUUCAAAAAUGUAUGAUUUAUGACUUGUUUGUUUUCCAACUUUUUGUCCAGCUUCCCUUUGAUAAAUCAAUUGUGAGCAUAAGGUAGUCAUUGUAGUCGUUUUCUGUUCUGCAACUGUAUCAAAAAUGGGAAUCGGAAAUCCAAGAUCCUUCAUGAUUAAAGUUGCAUCUCCCUUCUUAAUAUGACAUGUAUUUGUAGACCAUUGAUUUCCCAGCAUCCAACCAUGUGAUUCCUCUUUCCUCGCAUUCCAAUUCCCAGCAAAGGAAUUCAGCCUUCUUGAUGUUGAGUGAGCAUGUACAGCUGCAGAAGUGCCUCACAUAGUUCUCUGGUUUCCUCUGUUGUCUCCAGUGUUUGAAUCCAUUUCUAUGGUUUCCCAUUAAACCAUUGCACAAGCAUGUACCUCCAUACUUUGACCAAUAUUGGAUGUUGAACAAGAUUCCUCCAGUAUCCCUUCUUGUAAAACUUACCAUUAGCCCCUAGGACUGCAUUAUUUGAUUCCCAAUUGUCCAGAUGUUUGGGCAUUAAAGUCCUUCUAUCCAUGCUUGUGCCUCCUAUUGUUACUCCUCCAAGGGAAUGAGAAACUAGUUCUAAUACCACCCUUUGAAUUUGUAACAAAUAAGAGGGCAUGUGUACAGUAAUUUUCCCUGCAAAAGGAACAUAAAAUUAGUAAAACCAUAGACCAUCCUUUCCUCCUCCUCUAGGAUUUGGAUCUGGUACUUUGUAGCAUUAUGAUGUGCUACAUAUUUCCUUGCUCGACUCCCUGUAUGAGGGCCUGAACGUGAUUUGAGUAUUGCACUGAUCCACCAGUUGGUUCGACUAGUCUACCAGUUAUACACAUUCUUGAAUCUGCUCCUUUUGAUGUGCUUCUUGUGUGAUUUCUUUUGUUUGC
Molecule: long non-coding RNA, 893 nt
Filed under: Nicotiana benthamiana
Lineage: Eukaryota; Viridiplantae; Streptophyta; Magnoliopsida; Solanales; Solanaceae
Description: long non-coding RNA (NBEN_LNC028377)
Source: RNAcentral